Molecule: ribosomal RNA, 468 nt
Filed under: uncultured bacterium
Lineage: Bacteria
Description: partial 16S ribosomal RNA
Rfam family: Bacterial small subunit ribosomal RNA
Source: RNAcentral
GACGAACGCUGGCGGCGCGCUUAACACAUGCAAGUCGAACGGAAAGGCCCUGCUUUUGUGGGGUGCUCGAGUGGCGAACGGGUGAGUAACACGUGAGUAACCUGCCCUUGACUUUGGGAUAACUUCAGGAAACUGGGGCUAAUACCGGAUAGGAGCUCCUGCUGCAUGGUGGGGGUUGGAAAGUUUCGGCGGUUGGGGAUGGACUCGCGGCUUAUCAGCUUGUUGGUGGGGUAGUGGCUUACCAAGGCUUUGACGGGUAGCCGGCCUGAGAGGGUGACCGGCCACAUUGGGACUGAGAUACGGCCCAGACUCCUACGGGAGGCAGCAGUGGGGAAUAUUGCACAAUGGGAGGAAGCCUGAUGCAGCAACGCCGCGUGCGGGAUGACGGCCUUCGGGUUGUAAACCGCUUUCGCCUGUGACGAAGCGUGAGUGACGGUAAUGGGUAAAGAAGCACCGGCUAACUACGUG